GACGAACGCUGGCGGCGUGCCUAACACAUGCAAGUCGAGCGAACAGACGAGGAGCUUGCUCCUCUGACGUUAUCGGCGGACGGGUGAGUAACACGUGGAUAACCUACCUCUCCGACCGGGAUAACAUCGGGAAAACGGAGCUACUAACGGAUGAUAUAUUGAACCGCAUGGUUCAAUAGUGAAAGACGGUUUUGCUGUCACUUAUAGAUGGAUCCGCGCCGCAUUAGCUAGUUGGUAAGGUAACGGCUUACCAAGGCAACGAUGCGUAGCCGACCUGAGAGGGUGAUCGGCCACACUGGAACUGAGACACCGUCGAGACUCCUACGGGAGGCAGCAGUAGGGAAUCUUCCGGAAUGGUCGAAGGCCUGACGGAGCAACGCCGCGGGAGUGAUGAAGGUCUUCGGAUCGUAAAACUCUGUUAUUAGGGAAGAAGAAAUGUGUAAGUAACUGUGCACGUCUUGACGGUACCUAGACAGAAAGCCACGGCUAACUACGUG
RNAcentral lists this ribosomal RNA (497 nucleotides) under uncultured bacterium. RNAcentral's name for it is "partial 16S ribosomal RNA". It matches the Rfam family "Bacterial small subunit ribosomal RNA", at positions 28 to 507 of the family's 1533-position model. The record is from RNAcentral.